RNAcentral lists this ribosomal RNA (503 nucleotides) under uncultured bacterium. Its description in RNAcentral is "partial 16S ribosomal RNA". It matches the Rfam family "Bacterial small subunit ribosomal RNA", at positions 30 to 523 of the family's 1533-position model. The record is from RNAcentral.
AUUGAACGCUGGCGGCAUGCCUUACACAUGCAAGUCGAACGGCAGCAUGGAGAGCUUGCUCUCUGAUGGCGAGUGGCGAACGGGUGAGUAAUGCAUCGGAACGUACCGUGUAAUGGGGGAUAACGUAGCGAAAGUUACGCUAAUACCGCAUACGACCUGAGGGUGAAAGCAGGGGAUCGCAAGACCUUGCGUUAUACGAGCGGCCGAUGUCAGAUUAGCUAGUUGGUGAGGUAAAGGCUCACCAAGGCGACGAUCUGUAGCGGGUCUGAGAGGAUGAUCCGCCACACUGGGACCGAGACACGGCCAGACUCCUACGGGAGGCAGCAGUGGGGAAUUUUGGACAAUGGGGGCAACCCUGAUCCAGCCAUGCCGCGUGAGUGAAGAAGGCCUUCGGGUUGUAAAGCUCUUUCGGCCGGGAAGAAAUCGCACAGGCUAAUACUCUGUGUGGAUGACGGUACCGGCAUAAGAAGCACCGGCUAACUACGUGCCAGCCGCCGCGGUAA